AGCUCCAAUAGCGGAAAUUAAUGUUGUUGCAGUUAAAAAGCUCGUAGUUGGAUUUCUGACUCUGAGACGCCUGUUCCCGCUUCCAAACCGGUUGUGCGUGACGUGGCGUCCUAGUCAUCCUUCCAGAGAACUCCCUCUCCUUAAUUGGUGCUGGGUAGCUAUCUGGAUCUUUUACUUUGAAAAAAUUAGAGUGUUCAAAGCAGGCUUGUGCUGUGAAUAUAUUAGCAUGGAAUAAUAAUCUAGGACUUCUGUUCUAUUUUGUUGGUUCUUGAGAACUUGAAGUAAUGAUUGAUAGGGAUAGUUGGGGGUGCUAGUAUUCAUCGGCCAGAGGUGAAAUUCUCGGAUUCGAUGAAGACUAACUAAUGCGAAAGCAUUCACCAAGGAUGUCUUCUUUAAUCAA
This 400-nucleotide ribosomal RNA is filed under the name phytoplankton environmental sample. Its description in RNAcentral is "partial small subunit ribosomal RNA". It matches the Rfam family "Eukaryotic small subunit ribosomal RNA", at positions 587 to 980 of the family's 1831-position model. The record is from RNAcentral.